RNAcentral lists this ribosomal RNA (514 nucleotides) under uncultured bacterium. RNAcentral describes it as "partial 16S ribosomal RNA". It matches the Rfam family "Bacterial small subunit ribosomal RNA", at positions 355 to 859 of the family's 1533-position model. The record is from RNAcentral.
UGGGGAAUUUUGGACAAUGGGCGCAAGCCUGAUCCAGCCAUGCCGCGUGCGGGAAGAAGGCCUUCGGGUUGUAAACCGCUUUUGUCAGGGAAGAAAUCUUCUGAGUUAAUACCUCGGGAGGAUGACGGUACCUGAAGAAUAAGCACCGGCUAACUACGUGCCAGCAGCCGCGGUAAUACGUAGGGUGCAAGCGUUAAUCGGAAUUACUGGGCGUAAAGCGUGCGCAGGCGGUUUUGUAAGACAGAGGUGAAAUCCCCGGGCUCAACCUGGGAACUGCCUUUGUGACUGCAAGGCUUGAGUGCGGCAGAGGGGGAUGGAAUUCCGCGUGUAGCAGUGAAAUGCGUAGAUAUGCGGAGGAAACACCGAUGGCGAAGGCAAUCCCCUGGGCCUGCACUGACGCUCAUGCACGAAAGCGUGGGGAGCAAACAGGAUUAGAUAGCCCUGGUAGUCCACGCCCUAAAACGAUGUCAACUGGUUGUUGGGAAGGUUCCUUCUCAGUAACGUAGCUAACGCG